AAAGUGCAGGAUGUGCCUUCGAGUUUUGUCCAUUAUUUAGAGGCAUAGGGUUUUUAAUGGUAUUGAUUUCGUUUGACAUACUGUGGUACUAUGUAUCGAUCAUGGGAUGGGUCCAAUAUUAUUUUGUCCAAUCAUUUCACUCACAAUUACCAUGGUCAACAUGUGACAACUGGUGGAAUACUGAAAAAUGCAGAGAGAAUAUGUUCAGCUCGUCAAUGACUAACAAUUCAACUGUCUUACUUGGAAAUACCACAAAUGUCACUUUAAAUACCGACACAUCAGUAAAUAACAAAACAGUGUUCUUGUCUCCUGCCAGCGAAUUCUGGUUGUA
Molecule: long non-coding RNA, 331 nt
Organism: Ruditapes philippinarum (Manila clam)
Lineage: Eukaryota; Metazoa; Mollusca; Bivalvia; Venerida; Veneridae
Exons: 3
Source: RefSeq, a predicted model, not a curated record